CCUCAGCUCCCUGGCACAGCCCCCAGACUCUGCUCCAUCAGCUCCCAGCCCAAAGCGUGGCAAGAAGGUGCUGAGCCCUGUGUGGAGCACUCGGAAAGGGGCAGGCUCGGCCACAGCCGGGGCUC
Long non-coding RNA from Empidonax traillii (willow flycatcher), 125 nucleotides. RefSeq lists it as uncharacterized. Lineage: Eukaryota; Metazoa; Chordata; Aves; Passeriformes; Tyrannidae. The transcript has 3 exons. The record is from RefSeq and is a predicted model, not a curated record.